This is an RNA transcript of Lates calcarifer (barramundi perch), 4679 nucleotides long. RefSeq lists it as uncharacterized. The record is from RefSeq and is a predicted model, not a curated record. The transcript is spliced from 6 exons. NCBI's taxonomy places the organism in Eukaryota, Metazoa, Chordata, Actinopteri, Centropomidae.
AGCGUGUCACAAGUAUAUUAAGUCAGAAACCACCCCAUUGUUUGUGGUUUGACACAUCAGAAGUGCUGCUCACAUCCGCAAACUGUGCAACACGUAGGCUUGAUGCACUGGCGAUUCAGCUGCGUUAAUCAUCCUCUUCCUCAUUAUGAUACACCGGACAUAUGUUAGUAUGAGGAACUGAACCGUGACUACUGCGCCGUCCCGCUUGGAUGCAGCCCGAUGUCAAGGUUUUAGUGUAGGAAAGAUAAAACAGUGAUGCGGUCAGAGACAGAAGAAAAUUAAAUCAGAUGGUCAGAGAGUCACCGAGGAAAAGGUUUGAAGAUGGACUCCGCCAGUCCCUUUUCCAGGGUGGAGAGGACUUUGUGGUCAGUUUGGUACUAUAUAACUGGAGCAGUAAACAGAUUCCUCAGGCCAGAGCCCACUGACACCGUUAACAAUGACCCAAACUCCUUCCAAGAAUCUACAGUGGACAGUGAGCCCCCUGAUGCUGGUCACCCAGAAAGUGACACUAGUAGAGAGGUUGUCAAUGAGGAACAGGCUGUUACAACAGCCUCUCUGCUUAGUUCAUCUAAGCCAGUUGUUGCCUGGGAAGUUUGCACCACAGAAAUCAACUUAGGGCCUGAGGAAGAAAGCAUGCAGUACAAAAGCCUGCUGAGUGGAGGCAGUGAGAGCAAAGCAUCUGAGGAAGGUGAGGGCACAAGAGAGGAACAGAUUAGCCAAACAGGAAAUGAUGAUGCAGGGCUGCUCAUUGCUAACGAUGCAAGAGCAAAAGAAGAUGAACAAGAAGAAAACAGAGAUCGGAAAUUGUUCGCUCACAAACAAGAUGAGACAACAGAGAUUAAUGAGUAUGAAGAUCGUGCAAAGUCACUAAAUCUUACAGAUGAUGCAAUGAGUGAAGACAUGGACGGAGGCGGAAGAAGGUCUGAUGCUGAGGAGGAGACUCAGGUGGCAGUGAGACUGGACGAUCUUCAAAAAAUAGAAGAAACUGUGGGAAAGAUCCAAGUAAUGGAAGAAGACGAUGAAAUGCACCAUGAAGAUGAAGAAGAUUUGGAGUUAGAAGACACUGAGAUAAAGUUGAGCCCAAUGACAGAUUUUAGUUUUGAAGAGGAGCGUAACGUGCACACUGAAGAUGCAUGUGUGCAGAGAGAUGAGGCGGAUACAUCGGUAACAUAUGAAGAAGUAGAAAACAGUGAGGAUGUGUUAGAGCUGGGGGAAAAACAAGUUAAAAAUCAGUUCUCAGUCUGUGAGGAGCCAUUAGAAAAUGUUGAAGAUGUCAAGCAAGACACAGGCCUUCUUUUACUGAAUGAUGACUUACAAAUGACCUUCGAAAAAAGUGGAAAUGUGUCAGAGGAUGUUGAACAAGAGCAUCUUAUGGUUCGCAGAAGUGAAAGUGAUAAGGUUGAGGAUGAAAGAGAAGAGGAGGAGGAGAACUCAUCGGAUGAAAGGGAGCAGGGUGCAGAAGAAAAUGUGAAUGUGUCUGCAGACAGCCAGUCAAUAUACGAAGAGCCAGAGCAGGAAGAGGACAUCAAGACAGUCGCGGAAGACAGUCAAGAAGAAGACAUUUUGACUGAACGUGUUUCAUGCCAUGAAGAAGUCAUGCAGAAUGCUGAAGCAGAGAGCACACAACACACAGCUGAAUUCACAGAUGAAGAAAAAGAGGAUGUGGCUAAGGACGCUAAAGUGCAAACUAAAAUAAGAGAGACAGAUAAUGUUGACGGCACGGUGACUGAUGAAAAAUCUCAUGUGACAACAACAGACAUUUCAGUAGAUGAGAGAUUUUUUGAUAAAGAUCAAGUAGAAGAGGAGAGGCUCUCCAGUGAAGAGAAAGACAGAGAUGUCUACAUGGAAAUAGCAUGUACAACCACCUCAGUUACAGGAGUACCCGAAGGCGAGACUGGACAGGAAAUUAGUGGAGAGUUUGAAAAUAUUCAGGGAUAUGUGAAGGCCCGCUUGUUGUGUCACAGGAGCUAAAUUCUCCAACAUGUGAGGAAACACAAGAGGGAGUUCCUGAAUACAACAAUGAGCCUGGGCCAGAUGAAAACAUAACACAAAAGUUCCUGGAAGUAGGAGAAGGAGAUUGCGAGGAAAUCCAUGCUGCUCAAUUACCAGAAGAGGAGGAGAGCGAAGAGCCAGAGAGCCUUCAAAACACUGGAGGUGACUAUUUACUGGUGAGUGAGCAUAUGGAAGAAGAACUACAAAGCACAGAAGAUAUUACGGACGAGCAUACUGAAAUACUGAACCUUACACAAGAAACAGAAAAACCAGUUGUUGAACCAGUAACUGAAGGAUCAGGACCCUUAUUUGAGGAAGAGGAAGGAAAAUCAUUGGACAGCUCAGUGAAGAUGGGGAUCAAGCACUCAGAAAAGGAAUUUGAGACACACAUUGGUGUGACAGACAAGACUAACGAGACAACAAAAGAGUUGCAAGAUGAGACUGAAGAGCUUUUGGUUGAAUUUGAAAUAGAUGAAGGUUUAAGUGACUUCAGAGAUGCUGUCAGAGAUGGCCAUGAGAUAGGAGCCAUAGCAGCAGAUGAUUUGCUGGUCGAAUUUGCUGACAAAACUAUAAAAACCUUUGAGGUUGAAGAGCAGGAGAUGACAGAGAUGACCUUCCAAGAAUCAGUAGAUGCCAAAAACUCUGAACAAAAAACUUCUAGUUUAUUAGAAGACAUUACUGAAUCUGGAUUCAUGAGACAGUUGGUUGAAACAGAGCCUAAAUUAUUUGAAGAUGGUACUGUAGAAAUGGAAGAUGCAGGGAUAGAUAUGGAAGAGACAGGUUAUGGAGUUGAGGAUGAAGCAAUAGAAGAUGAAAUGCAGAAUGAAAAUGAGAUGGAAAUUUUAAACCUGGAGCCAGCAGGACUGGCAACUGACCCAACCACAGAAAACAUCAACAAUACUUUACUUGAAGAAUCUGAAUUAUCUAGACCAGAUGAGUCAGUGGAGACAAGACUUCAACUAUCAGAUGAAGCAUUCAAGAUAAGGAAUGAGGAGAUGUUAGCAGACACUGAAGUUUCAGCUGAAUUAAUGACGACAGAGUCUGAAAUAAAAGAUAUGACUCUGAUACUUACGGAGGCAAUGGAGAAGCAUGGGACAGAAUCAGAGAGGAAUUAUGCUGAAGAAGCAAGUAGCUCAGUCACUGGAUGUCAAGAUGUGAUUGAUGAAGAAAUCCUUGAUUUGUGGAUAGAGACAGCACUGUCAAAGGACACCAACGACAUGGAGCAGCAAGAAGGGUCUCAACCUGAACAAAAAACAGACACCAAAAUAGAGCCAUCAACUGAUGAGCAAGAUGAAAUGCCAUCAGUGCAUGCAGGGACAGAGAAAGAACAGCUUGCAGAGUCGAAUUCAGGAGAAUCUGGAUUGGUAAGUGACACAGAAAUGUCUUCAUCAGCAGCUGAGUCUGGGUUUUUGGACCAGUCUGUCAGUGAAUGGGGCACAGGCAGUGAAAACCAGCUACUGAAGUCACUUAGCACUGGAUCAUUUCAAGGCACCUAUGACAUAUUUGCUAGUAUUUCAGAAUCAUUAGAUAUCUCUGAAUUGUCUACACAGAAACAUAUCUCUGAAACUCAGGACAUAUUGAUAGAGGAAGCAGUGGAGAUAGAACAAUCAGAUCUGACAGAGGAGGAAUCGAUCAUUGAGACUGGAUUUCACCCUGACUCAGGAGUUGUAUCAUCUGAGGCUGAACACCUAAGUCAGGAAUUGGACCUAUUGCAGGAAAAAACAGACGGAAGAACGAGUUGAAUCAGCAGAAAGUGAAACUGGAUCACAGAAAGAGCUUGAUGCUGACAUAACAGACAUAGUAAGGAUAACAGACUGGAAAGACGAUGAAGAAGCAAAUGAGGUAACUGCACCUGACUGUCCCAGUGAAAUCAAACAUGCUGAAUCUAGAAGUGGCACAGAGGCUUCAUUACAGGAGAAAAUCAUGUCGGCAGGGUCAGAAGACAACACCUGUGCUGAACCUGAGAAGUUAUUGAGGUUGCCCUCACUGGACAAACCACAGCCCAGAUGGUUAGAGGAUAUUGCUGAAUCAUUACUUGAGCUAGACGAGGCUGAGGUGGCAGAACAGCUGACGACAACGUCUGAAGAUCAGAUUGAGUUGGAUCGGUCUGCACUGGACUUCACCGCACAAAGGUCAAGAAUUGCUGUCAAAAACCCUCGUGUAAGACCACCCAAAGAUCCCCGCUCCCUGCUACAUAUGCCUUCAGUGGAACCCACACCCUCCUCACAUCUGCCAGUCAGAGUCCCUGCAGGUGUGCCUUUGGGAGGCAUGGGCAUUGGAAUAAAACUGCCUGGGCUUGGUGCAGGUUUUCCUGUUUUAAAAAAGACAAGGCCUGUGGUGAAAGGAGAAACAAGCUCAGAAACCCCCUCACAGGAACCUGAGACAAAGCCAGAGGAGAAGAGUGGCACUCCCAGAGAAGAUGAAGUGCAACACAAACCUAAAUGGAUGCCACCAAGACAACCAGGAUUUGGAAAUCCACUUAUGUCUGAGCUGAAGUCCAAACUGAGGAAACCCACACAAGAGUGAUAAAAAAUGAACUGUAAUGCUUUGUGUCAAUAUCUGAAUUUAAUAUACAAAUAGCUUUAUUUUUUGGUGUAUUUAUCAAAUUGAAUACAGAGAUGAGUUGUCGUUCAUGUCAAUUACUUUUUAUGUUUAAGUUUUGUAAUAAAGAUUUACUGAAAAAUAAA